AGCCAGACUCCUACGGGAGGCAGCAGUGGGGAAUAUUGCACAAUGGGGGGAACCCUGAUGCAGCGAUGCCGCGUGGAGGAAGAAGGUUUUCGGAUUGUAAACUCCUUUUAUCAGGGACGAUAAUGACGGUACCUGAAGAAAAAGCUCCGGCUAACUACGUGCCAGCAGCCGCGGUAAUACGGAGGAUGCGAGCGUUAUCCGGAUUUAUUGGGUUUAAAGGGUGCGUAGGCGGGAUGCCAAGUCAGCGGUAAAAAUGCGGUGCUCAACGCCGUCGAGUCGUUGAAACUGGCGUUCUUGAGUGGGCGAGAAGUAUGCGGAAUGCGUGGUGUAGCGGUGAAAUGCAUAGAUAUCACGCAGAACUCCGAUUGCGAAGGCAGCAUACCGGCGCCCUACUGACGCUGAGGCACGAAAGCGUGGGUAUCGAACAGGAUUAGAUACCCGAGUA
RNAcentral lists this ribosomal RNA (445 nucleotides) under uncultured bacterium. Its description in RNAcentral is "bacterial SSU rRNA". It matches the Rfam family "Bacterial small subunit ribosomal RNA", at positions 329 to 792 of the family's 1533-position model. The record is from RNAcentral.